Molecule: ribosomal RNA, 500 nt
Filed under: uncultured bacterium
Lineage: Bacteria
Description: partial 16S ribosomal RNA
Rfam family: Bacterial small subunit ribosomal RNA
Source: RNAcentral
AUUGAACGCUGGCGGAAUGCUUUACACAUGCAAGUCGAACGGCAGCACGGACUUCGGUCUGGUGGCGAGUGGCGAACGGGUGAGUAAUACAUCGGAACGUGCCAAGUGGUGGGGGAUAACGUAGCGAAAGCUACGCUAAUACCGCAUACGAUCUGAGGAUGAAAGAGGGGGACCGUAAGUCAUCGCGCGAUUGGAACGGCCGAUGGCAGAUUAGGUAGUUGGGGGGGGAAAGGCUCACCACGCCCACGAUCUGUAGCUGGUCUGAGAUGACGACCGGCCACACUGGGACUGAGACACGGCCCAGACUCCUACGGGAGGCAGCAGUGGGGAAUUUUGGACAAUGGGCGCAAGCCUGAUCCAGCCAUUCCGCGUGCAGGAUGAAGGCCCUCGGGUUGUAAACUGCUUUUGUACGGAACGAAAAGGCUCUGGUUAAUACCUGGGGCUCAUGACGGUACCGUAAGAAUAAGCACCGGCUAACUACGUGCCAGCCGCCGCCGUAA